Molecule: unclassified non-coding RNA, 150 nt
Organism: Pongo abelii (Sumatran orangutan)
Lineage: Eukaryota; Metazoa; Chordata; Mammalia; Primates; Hominidae
Rfam family: Metazoan signal recognition particle RNA
About the family: The signal recognition particle (SRP) is a universally conserved ribonucleoprotein. It is involved in the co-translational targeting of proteins to membranes. The eukaryotic SRP consists of a 300-nucleotide 7S RNA and six proteins: SRPs 72, 68, 54, 19, 14, and 9.
Source: Ensembl
GCUGGGUGUGGUGGCGCAUGCCUGUAAUCCCAGCUACUCAGGAGGCUGAGGCAGGAGAAUCGCUUGAACCUGGGAAGCUCUGAACCUGUGAUGAGCUGAGAUCACGCCACCGCACUCCAGCCUGGGUGACAGAGCGAGACUCUGUCUCAA